This 253-nucleotide ribosomal RNA is filed under the name uncultured bacterium. Its description in RNAcentral is "partial 16S ribosomal RNA". It matches the Rfam family "Bacterial small subunit ribosomal RNA", at positions 524 to 776 of the family's 1533-position model. The record is from RNAcentral.
UACGUAGGGCACAAGCGUUAUCCGGAAUUAUUGGGCGUAAAGAGCUCGUAGGCGGUUUGUCGCGUCUGCCGUGAAAGUCCGGGGCUCAACUCCGGAUCUGCGGUGGGUACGGGCAGACUAGAGUGAUGUAGGGGAGACUGGAAUUCCUGGUGUAGCGGUGAAAUGCGCAGAUAUCAGGAGGAACACCGAUGGCGAAGGCAGGUCUCUGGGCAUUAACUGACGCUGAGGAGCGAAAGCAUGGGGAGCGAACAGG